Molecule: long non-coding RNA, 313 nt
Organism: Hydra vulgaris (swiftwater hydra)
Lineage: Eukaryota; Metazoa; Cnidaria; Hydrozoa; Anthoathecata; Hydridae
Source: RefSeq, a predicted model, not a curated record
UUUAUAUUUUAGAGUUUUAUACAAAAUUAAAAAAUAAAAUCAAAAUAGACUAAAAGGUUCGACUACUAUGGAGGAUUUUGAAAAAGAUCAGUUCUAUGGAUGUGGGUGUCAACGAUAUUUAGCCGUUGUACUUUUAAUGCCUUUUUUUAUAGCUAUAUCUUUAAUCGGAUGUACCGUCCUAUUUAUUGAAAACGCAAUUCAAUUCUUUUGUCCGAAAGCACGUUGCAUGGGAGCGUCAAGCGAUUGGGUGUACGAAAAAAUGGUGAAACUACCUAAGAAUGCUUUACAAUGGGCAAUAUAAUUACUAUUUGUA